Molecule: small nucleolar RNA, 142 nt
Organism: Elaeis guineensis (African oil palm)
Lineage: Eukaryota; Viridiplantae; Streptophyta; Magnoliopsida; Arecales; Arecaceae
Product: small nucleolar RNA snoR135
Source: RefSeq, a predicted model, not a curated record
GCAGCAGGAUAGUGUAUAUCGGUGCUAUGCUCUUAUGUAGUUUCCGAACGUGUUUCUUGCUACAGUAACUUUGGGGAAAAUGGGCAGUUGGGUUACACCAUAAUCUUUCAUUGGUAUCUCAACAAUCAUUUUUCCCAUAUUC